CUAAUACAUGCAAGUCGAGCGCGGGAAGCAGAAGGAUUCCUUCGGGAUGACAUCUGUGGAACGAGCGGCGGAUGGGUGAGUAACACGUGGGCAACCUGCCUGUAAGACUGGGAUAACUCCGGGAAACCGGGGCUAAUACCGGAUGGUUCCUUCCUCCGCAUGGAGGAAGGCGGAAAGACGGUUUCGGCUGUCACUUGCAGAUGGGCCCGCGGCGCAUUAGCUAGUUGGUGGGGUAAUGGCCCACCAAGGCGACGAUGCGUAGCCGACCUGAGAGGGUGAUCGGCCACACUGGGACUGAGACACGGCCCAGACUCCUACGGGAGGCAGCAGUAGGGAAUCUUCCGCAAUGGACGAAAGUCUGACGGAGCAACGCCGCGUGAGCGAAGAAGGCCUUCGGGUCGUAAAGCUCUGUUGUAAGGGAAGAACAAGUGCCGGUUAACUGCCGGUGCCCUGACGGUACCUUACCAGAAAGCCACGGCUAACUACGUGCCAGCAGCCGCGGUAAUACGUAGGUGGCAAGCGUUGUCCGGAAUCAUUGGGCGUAAAGCGCGCGCAGGCGGUUUCUUAAGUCUGAUGUGAAAGCCCACGGCUCAACCGUGGAGGGUCAUUGGAAACUGGGGAACUUGAGUGCAGAAGAGGAAAGCGGAAUUCCACGUGUAGCGGUGAAAUGCGUAGAGAUGUGGAGGAACACCAGUGGCGAAGGCGG
Molecule: ribosomal RNA, 706 nt
Filed under: uncultured bacterium
Lineage: Bacteria
Description: bacterial SSU rRNA
Rfam family: Bacterial small subunit ribosomal RNA
Source: RNAcentral